Dipodomys ordii (Ord's kangaroo rat) is the source of this 100-nucleotide non-coding RNA. The record is from Rfam. Lineage: Eukaryota; Metazoa; Chordata; Mammalia; Rodentia; Heteromyidae.
AUGCUUCAGCAGGACGUUUACCCAAAUUACUACAAUAUAGAGAUUAUCAUGGCACUUACACAAGGAUGAUAUGAAAAUUUGUGAAAUAUUCCAUAUUUUU